This 494-nucleotide ribosomal RNA is filed under the name uncultured bacterium. Its description in RNAcentral is "partial 16S ribosomal RNA". It matches the Rfam family "Bacterial small subunit ribosomal RNA", at positions 28 to 507 of the family's 1533-position model. The record is from RNAcentral.
GACGAACGCUGGCGGCGUGCUUAACACAUGCAAGUCGAACGGAAAGGCCUGCUUUCCCUUGUGGAUUGCGGGUACUCGAGUGGCGAACGGGUGGGUAACACGUGAGUGAUCUGCCCCCAACUUGGGUAUAAGCCUGGGAAACUGGGUCUAAUUCCCGAUAGGACUGCAGGGUGGUGCCUGUGGUGGGAAACGAUUUUCUAGUGGUUGGGGAUGAGCUCGCGGCCUAUCAGCUUGUUGGUGGGGUAAUGGCCUACCAAGGCGGCGACGGGUAGCCGGCCUGAGAGGGUGGACGGCGACAUUGGGACUGGGAUACGGCCCAGACGCCUACGAGAGGCAGCAGAGGGGAAUAUUGGACAAUGGGCGGAAGCCUGAUGCAGCGACGCCGCGUGGGGGAUGACGGCCUUCGGGUUGUAAACUCCUUUCGACCGCGAGGAAGCCACCUGGUUGGAAGGGUAGUGACGGUAGUGGUAGAAGAAGCACCGGCUAACUACGUG